RNAcentral lists this long non-coding RNA (3082 nucleotides) under Zea mays. RNAcentral describes it as "long non-coding RNA (ZMAY_LNC005118)". Lineage: Eukaryota; Viridiplantae; Streptophyta; Magnoliopsida; Poales; Poaceae. The record is from RNAcentral.
GGAAGCCGGUGGUGCCGCCAGGAAUCGCGGACCCGGACUUCACUGGCGGGGCGCAUAAAACUCGAGCCCUAUCGCUCCCCUGUGGAUACACCAAGUCGAAGCAAGUAGUCCCCGUGUCGUGUAUGCGUACAGAGCGAUGGGAGAGGGUGUCGACCGUGCCACCGCCGUAGACUCGCCGUUGGUCAGCCUCCCAGUCGCGGUGGUCUGUCCAGGGUGUAUCAGCGGACUCCGCCGCGUGUGCUGGACCAACCCCUGGGUCGGUUGCGUCUUCCCAUCGGCGACAAUUGCUCACCGGAGCUGCGACUGCCGCCAAGCCACAUCUCCGCGGGCAUCGAGUUCUCCGCGUCGCCGGACCUAGGUAAGACUUCCCCGAAUCUCCUCCUCACCUUCAUCAAAUGUAGAACCGGGUGAUUGAGUCCCCUGUUGCGCUGGAGCACGCUUAUUGCUCGUCGGCGUGAUUAGAACCACUGUUGUCCGCCCUCCUCGGUAGACAGUGGGUUUUAAUGAUCUUACACACGAAUUGACUCACUAGAACGAUUCGCCGCGUUGCGGGCUUGGCGUAGGGCUUAGGAAUUAAAUUUUGGUGCACUGGCGAGGCAGCGCGGUCAUCUCCGGCGAUGCGCCGCCGCGCAGUUGCGUCACCACCGCGCUCGGCCGCUGGAAUUGGGGAAGAAAGGUGACUGUCGGCCGACCGUUGGAUGCCCAACGGAUGGCCAAGAUUAAAUGAUGCGCAUACCCUUUGGUGAGAUCGCAUCUGGGCCGUCGGUUGUAUGGCGGGCGAUGUAGAUUAGAUCUGGGGAUUUUAAAUCGUGGCCGUUGGGUGGAUCGGAUGGCCAGAAUUGAUUGCGGGGUUCAGGGGACGUCAGAUCUAAUCCGGGCCCUCGGUUCUGGAUCUAGCGGCUCACAUCCAACCGUACCCCUUCGCGGGUACAUUUUGCUAAAGAAACCCUAGGGUAUUUUAUAAUGAACCCGCCGUCCUACUUCCACUAUUCCCUGUGUCACUGGAUUCUUACCCCGAGCCCCCUGUGAUUAAUUGAAAUUGUGGCCCAGUCCAGAACCCAUUUAAUUUGAAUAAAUGAAAUAGAAAAUGGAUUUUUAAUAUGAAAAUAAUUACUAGAACUUAAUUAAUUCAUAGAAACUUCAUACUAAGUCCAAAUUAAUCCAUUCCAAUUUCUAUAAUUUUGUAAUAUUAUUGUUUAUCAUUUAGUACCACUGUUUUGACAUGAAUAUCACAAUAGAAUUUAUAUCCUAUUUAAUCUUGUACAAAACACAUGAAACCUUUAGAAAUUCAUAACUUAAAAUCUAUAACUCCAAAAUUAACGAUUUCUGUUCCUAGAAUCUUAUUUUAAUGUGUAGAUUAUUAUUAUGUAUUUUGUUUACAUGUUUGGUGUGAUGUUAAUUUUGCCUACACCAUGUUUGUCUGUAUUGCUACGACUAGUGCGAGGUCACGUGUCAUCCGAAGAUCAUCCUGGUACCUGGAAUCUCAAGUCCCAGGCAAGUUGUGCCCUUGAUCACUUCUUUUACCCACUCAUGUUCUAAUUAAUCAUAAUGAUCUGCAUAGGUUAAUUUUGAUGGGACCCAACAGGUUACCCUAGUUUGACUAUCUUUAUACCUUGAUUACCACUGGACUUUUUGGGUAGUACUUGCUAUUGCUUUAUGUGGUUUUGGGUAUGAAGAUUACACUAUUCAUGAUUAUACUUUUGUUAUCAGUUGUUAUUUAUUGUUCAUGUUAAGAUCAUUAUGUUAAUUGGAACAUGGAGAACCACCCGGGAAAAUAGUGCUACCACAAGGGUUUAUGGACGCCCUUGGCUGACUAAUUAGGAAAGCUAGUGGAGGACUACCUUACCCGAAAGGGGCAAGGGCAGUAGGGGAGUGGUCAGUGUAGGGAGGCCCUCGGGAGGAUUUUGCUGUGAUGGCGGUCCUGCAAGGGAUUCCUGGGGAGGCCCUCGGGAGGAUUUUGCUGUGAUGGCGGUCCUGCAAGGGAUUCCUGGGAAGGAGCUUCCUAUAAACUGUAGCGGGUUUUCUGAAGCUAGUGGAACUUUGUAAAGGCCUCGUAGUGUUACCCUGCCUCGCCUCCUCGGUAGAGGUGUAUGGGAAGUCGCGAUCCCUUGGCAGAUGGGUAACAUGACUUGUGGGUAAAGAUGCGCAACCUCUGCAGAGUGUAAAACUGGUAUACUAGCCGUGCUCACGGUCAUGAGCGGCUCGGACACUCACAUGAUUAAUCUAUGGAACUUAAAUUCAAUUUGUCAUAUGCAUUGCAUCGCAGGUGAUGUUGUUACUUCUGUUCUACUAUUUAAUUGGGUUGGUAUUUACUUAUACUUAGUAAUGGCUAAUAAAAUUUUGACCAACUUUAAAAGCAAUGCUCAGCUUCAGCCAUCAUCUUUGGUAAGCCUUACACUUCACAUGAACUCCCACCUUUGGCGAGUUCAUUCACAUUAUUCCCCACAACUUGUUGAGCGAUGAACGUAUGUGAGCUCACUCUUGCUGUCUCACACCCCACCCCACAGGUCAAGAACAGGUACCGCAGGAUGAGGCGCGUGGAGGAUGCUGUGAUGUGUUCGUGAGAGAUCUAGGCCGUCGUCUCCCAGUCAACUUUGGGUUGCUGGACCGUUGUCUCCUUAUAAUGUAAUUACUUAUUUAUUUUGUAUAGAACUCCUGUUAGAUAGUAAAGAUGUGACAUUCGAUCCUGUGCCAUGAUUCAUCAUAUGUGUGAGACUUGGUCCCAGCACACCUGGUGAUUAUGUUUACGCCCGGGUUUUGGACCCCUAAAAUCCGGGUGUUACAGGCUAAGACACGGAAGACGGCGAACUCCGCUCCGCCCGACCCCAGGGCUCGGACUCGGGCUAAGACCCGGAAGACGGCGAACUCCGCUCCGCCCGACCCCAGGGCUCGGACUCGGGCUAAGACCCGGAAGACGGCGAACUCCGCUCCGCCCGACCCCAGGGCUCGGACUCGGGCUAAGACCCGGAAGACGGCGAACUCCGCUCCGCCCGACCCCAGGGCUCGGACUCGGGCUAAGACCCGGAAGACGGCGAACUCCGCUCCGCCCGACCCCAGGGCUCGGACUCGGGCUAAGACCCGG